CCUACGGGGGGCUGCAGUUUCGAAUCAUUCACAAUGGGCGAAAGCCUGAUGGUGCGACGCCGCGUGAGGGAUGAAGGUCUUCGGAUUGUAAACCUCUGUCACCGGGGAAGAAACGCUUCAGGUUAAUAGUCUGAAGCCUGACUUAACCCGGAGAGGAAGCAGUGGCUAACUCUGUGCCAGCAGCCGCGGUAAUACAGAGACUGCGAGCGUUAUUCGGAUUCACUGGGCGUAAAGGGUGCGCAGGCGGCCGAGUGUGUGAGGCGUGAAAGCCCGGG
RNAcentral lists this ribosomal RNA (275 nucleotides) under uncultured Opitutus sp. Its description in RNAcentral is "partial 16S ribosomal RNA". It matches the Rfam family "Bacterial small subunit ribosomal RNA", at positions 338 to 606 of the family's 1533-position model. Lineage: Bacteria; Pseudomonadati; Verrucomicrobiota; Opitutia; Opitutales; Opitutaceae. The record is from RNAcentral.